Molecule: small nuclear RNA, 166 nt
Organism: Suncus etruscus (white-toothed pygmy shrew)
Lineage: Eukaryota; Metazoa; Chordata; Mammalia; Eulipotyphla; Soricidae
Product: U1 spliceosomal RNA
Exons: 1
Source: RefSeq, a predicted model, not a curated record
AUAUUUAUCUGGCCAGGGAGAUACCAUGAUCAUGAAGGUGAUUUCUCCAGGGCAAGGCUCAUUCAUUGCAGUCUGGAUAUGCUGACUCCUGAGAUUUCCCCAAAAGUGGAAAACUCAACUGUAUAAUUUGUGGUAGUGAAGGACUGUGUUAACGCUCUACCCUGAA